RNAcentral lists this long non-coding RNA (2604 nucleotides) under Homo sapiens (human). RNAcentral's name for it is "non-protein coding lnc-SLX1B-3:23". The record is from RNAcentral. Lineage: Eukaryota; Metazoa; Chordata; Mammalia; Primates; Hominidae.
GACAUUCGGAGCUGCUCUUCAGGGUUCUGGGCACGUCGCAUAUUGCGCCCCAGCCUUCUCAGCAGCCAGGAGCUGGGAGGUGGAGGGGCCUGUGGUCUGGCCGCCACCUAGCAGGCCUGCAUGGCCACCUCCAGCCGGGUGCAGGCUGGCUGGGGUGGGGCUGCCCUUGACCUUGGGCUCUCCCUCCUCCGCCAGAUCCUCAGGCGCUGGCUCAGCCUCCCACGGCCUGGGGGAGCCUCUGUCUGCUCCUUCCAGCCGUUCAAGGACGAGGCUUCCGAAAGACUCACUGUUCCUGUGUGGGGAACUGAGGCUGUGUGAAGGCUGGAUGAACCGCUGCUGUGGCCUGAGUCCUCCGGAGGCUGAGAGCAAACGGCUGCACUAGGAACCCAGCAGUCAGACCGGCCCCCACCCUGGAGUGAACACAUCGCCACUGCCAGGCAUCGCAGGGAGGAUUACCCCAAUGGCACCUGGCUGGGCGACGAGAACAACCCCGAGAUGCGGGUGCACUGCGCCAUCAUCCCCUCCGACAUGCUGCACAUCAGCACCAACUGCCGCACGGCCGAGGAGAUGGUGCUCACGCUGCUGGACUACCUCUUCCACCGCGAGGUGCAGGCUGUGUCCAGCCUCUCGGGGCAGGGCAAGCACGGGAAGAAGCAGCUGGACCCGCUCACCAUCUAUGGCAUCCGGUAGCCGAUGAUGAGCACCCCACCUCCUGCCAGAGAGCUCCUGCAGCCACAGCUGCAGCCGCAGGCCCUGCACUACGCGCUGGCCAACGUGCAGCAGGUGCAGAUCCACCAGAUCGGAGAAGACGGACAGGUGCAAGUAGGACACCUCCACAUCGCCAAGGUGCCACAGGGGGAGCAAGUCCAGAUCACGCAGGACAGCGAGAGCCCGUGUUCUGGUACUACGUGAAGGAGGUCCUCAACAAGCACGAGCUGCAAGCGCUUCUACUCCCUGCGCCACAUCGCCUCAGACGUGGGCCGGGGCCGCACCUGGCUGCGCUGUGCCCUCAACGAACACUCCCUGGAGCGCUACCUGCACAUGCUCCUGGCCGACCGCUGCAGGCUCAGUACUUUUUAUGAAGACUGGUCUUUUGUGAUGGAUGAAGAGAGGUCCAGUAUGCUUCCUACCAUGGCAGCAGGUCCGAACUCCAUACUCUUUGCGAUUAACAUUGACAACAAGGAUUUGAACGGGCAGAGUAAGUUUGCUCCCACCGUUUCAGACCUCUUAAAGGAGUCAACGCAGAAUGUGACCUUGCUGAAGGAGUCCACGCAAGGAGUGAGCAGCGUGUUCAGGGAGAUCACAGCCUCCUCUGCCAUCUCCAUCCUCAUCAAACCUGAACAGGAGACCGACCCCUUGCCCGUCGUGUCCAGGAAUGUCAGUGCUGAUGCCAAAUGCAAAAAGGAGCGGAAGAAGAAAAAGCAAGUGACCAACAUUAUCUCAUUUGAUGAUGAGGAAGAUGAGCAGAACUCUGGGGACAUGUUUAAAAAGACACCUGGGGCAGGGGAGAGCUCAGAGGACAACUCCGACCACUCCUCUGUCAAUAUCAUGUCCGCCUUUGAAAGCCCCUUCGGGCCAAACUCCAAUGGAAGUCAGAGCAGCAACUCGUGGAAAAUUGAUUCCCUGUCUUUGAACAGGGAGUUUGGGUACCAGAAGCUUGAUGUGAAAAGCAUCGAUGAUGAAGAUGUGGAUGAAAACGAAGAUGACGUGUAUGGAAACUCAUCAGGACGGAAGCACAGGGGCCACUCAGAGUCGCCCGAGAAGUGCUGCCAUGGCCACGACUGUUGUUACACUCGAGCUGAGGAGGCCGGCUGCAGCCCCAAGACAGAGCGCUACUCCUGGCAGUGCGUCAAUCAGAGCGUCCUGUGCGAUGAGUCCCCAGCAGCACCAUGCCACCCACCCCGAGUAUCCCCUGGGCACCCUGGCAUAGCCAGAUGACUUCCGUGCCCCUGUUGCAAUAACCACUGCUUCCAAGUCUCUGUAGACCACCCCUUGGGUAUAUCUCAUGUAAGUGAUAUUUAUUUUAUUUAUAUUUUUUGAGUCAGAGUCUCACUCUGUCACCCAGGCUAGAGUGUGCUGACGUGAUCUUGGCUCACUACAACCUCUGUCUCCUGGGUUCAAGCGAUUCUCAUGCCUCAGCCUCCCAAGUGGCUAGGACUACAGACAUGCACCAUCACGCCCAGCUAAUUUUUGUAUGUUUUUCAGUAGAGGUGGGGUUUCACCAAGUUGGCCGGGCUGGUCUCAAACUCCCCACCUCAAGUGGUCUGCCCGCCUCGGCCUCCCAAAGUGCUGGGAUUACAGGCAUGAGCCAUGGUGUCUGGCCCUAAUGUGAGUGAUCUUUAACACUGAGCACUUGAAAAAGAAAACCCUGAAGAAACCUAAUUAUUCGAUGUCUGGACGACAAGGAAGAAGAUAGAAAUGGCAUCAGAUAAUAAACAGUGUAAAUGUUUGUUUAUCAGAAAGGGGCUGGUGGUCGGGACAAGUAGGAGGAUCGCUUGAGUCCAGGAGUGCAUCUCUACAAAAAAGUUAAAGGAUUUUUUAACAUUGGCCAGGCGUGGUGGCACACAUCUGUGAUCCCAGCUACUUGGGAGGCUGAGGCAGGAG